AGAUUGAACGCUGGCGGCAUGCUUUACACAUGCAAGUCGAACGGUAACAGGCCGCAAGGUGCUGACGAGUGGCGAACGGGUGAGUAAUGCAUCGGAACGUGCCCAGUCGUGGGGGAUAACGCAGCGAAAGCUGUGCUAAUACCGCAUACGAUCUAUGGAUGAAAGCGGGGGACCGAAAGGCCUCGCGCGAUUGGAGCGGCCGAUGUCAGAUUAGCUAGUUGGUGGGGUAAAGGCCCACCAAGGCGACGAUCUGUAGCUGGUCUGAGAGGACGACCAGCCACACUGGAACUGAGACACGGUCCAGACUCCUACGGGAGGCAGCAGUGGGGAAUUUUGGACAAUGGGCGCAAGCCUGAUCCAGCAAUGCCGCGUGCAGGAAGAAGGCCUUCGGUUGUAAACUGUCUUUUGUACGGAACGAAACGGUUCUCUCUAAUACAGGGCUAAUGACGUACCGUAAGAAUAAGACACCGGACUAACGUACGUGCCAGCACGUA
This 494-nucleotide ribosomal RNA is filed under the name uncultured soil bacterium. Its description in RNAcentral is "bacterial SSU rRNA". It matches the Rfam family "Bacterial small subunit ribosomal RNA", at positions 26 to 516 of the family's 1533-position model. The record is from RNAcentral.